This 154-nucleotide unclassified non-coding RNA is filed under the name Stagonosporopsis valerianellae. RNAcentral's name for it is "partial internal transcribed spacer 2". Lineage: Eukaryota; Fungi; Ascomycota; Dothideomycetes; Pleosporales; Didymellaceae. The record is from RNAcentral.
GUACCUUCAAGCUCUGCUUGGUGUUGGGUGUUUGUCUCGCCUCUGCGCGCAGACUCGCCUCAAAACGAUUGGCAGCCGGCGUAUUGAUUUCGGAGCGCAGUACAUCUCGCGCUUUGCAACCAGACGACGACGUCCAAAAAGUACAUUUUUACAC